RNAcentral lists this ribosomal RNA (223 nucleotides) under uncultured bacterium. Its description in RNAcentral is "partial 16S ribosomal RNA". It matches the Rfam family "Bacterial small subunit ribosomal RNA", at positions 116 to 334 of the family's 1533-position model. The record is from RNAcentral.
CGUAGGUAACCUGCCUGGUAGCGGGGGAUAACUAUUGGAAACGAUAGCUAAUACCGCAUAAUAUUGACUAUUGCAUGAUAGUCAAUUAAAAGGUGCAAUUGCAUCACUACCAGAUGGACCUGCGUUGUAUUAGCUAGUUGGUGGGGUAACGGCUCACCAAGGCGACGAUACAUAGCCGACCUGAGAGGGUGAUCGGCCACACUGGGACUGAGACACGGCCCAG